This 403-nucleotide ribosomal RNA is filed under the name uncultured bacterium. RNAcentral's name for it is "bacterial SSU rRNA". It matches the Rfam family "Bacterial small subunit ribosomal RNA", at positions 355 to 775 of the family's 1533-position model. The record is from RNAcentral.
UGGGGAAUCUUGCACAAUGGGGGCAACCCUGAUGCAGCGACGCCGCGUGAGCGAUGAAGCCCUUCGGGGUGUAAAGCUCUUUCGGCAGGGAAGAUUAUGACGGUACCUGCAGAAGCAGCUGCGGCUAACUACGUGCCAGCAGCCGCGGUAAUACGUAGGCAGCAAGCGUUGUUCGGAGUUACUGGGCGUAAAGGGUGUGUAGGCGGUUUUCUAAGUCUGGUGUGAAAUCUCCCGGCUCAACUGGGAGGGUGCGCCGAAAACUGGAAGGCUAGAGUGCGGGAUGGGUAAGUGGAAUUCCUGGUGUAGCGGUGAAAUGCGUAGAUAUCAGGAGGAACACCUGUGGUGUAGACGGCUUACUGGACCGCAACUGACGCUGAGACACGAAAGCGUGGGUAGCAAACAG